GACGAACGCUGGCGGCGUGCUUAACACAUGCAAGUCGAACGGUGAAGCGCCUUCCUUUUUGGUGGGUGUGGAUGAGUGGCGAACGGGUGAGUAACACGUGAGUAACCUGCCCCCUUCUUCUGGAUAACCGCAUGAAAGUGUGGCUAAUACGGGAUAUUCUGGGUCUGUCGCAUGAUGGGUCUGGGAAAGAUAUUGUUUCGGUGGGGGAUGGGCUCGCGGCCUAUCAGCUUGUUGGUGGGGUGAUGGCCUACCAAGGCGGUGACGGGUAGCCGGCCUGAGAGGGUGGACGGCCACACUGGGACUGAGACACGGCCCAGACUCCGACGGGAGGCAGCAGGGGGGAAUAUUGCACAAUGGGCGCAAGCCUGAUGCAGCGACGCCGCGUGAGGGAUGGAGGCCUUCGGGUUGUGAACCUCUUUCGCCAGUGAAGCAGGCCUGCCUCGUUUGUGGGUGGGUUGACGGUAGCUGGAUAAGAAGCGCCGGCUAACUACGUG
RNAcentral lists this ribosomal RNA (494 nucleotides) under uncultured bacterium. RNAcentral's name for it is "partial 16S ribosomal RNA". It matches the Rfam family "Bacterial small subunit ribosomal RNA", at positions 28 to 507 of the family's 1533-position model. The record is from RNAcentral.